UUCUGUCUGAUGCAUCGGUCUUUGACUACCAUUUUUGGCUAACCUCAUGCUGUUCAAUUUUCUUCAAAUUUAUAAACAAAUAACACAAUUACUGAUUCAUGAAACUUCAUCUUCAUCAUUGUUUGGUACCAAGAAGCCCAAGCAGAAGAAAAAACAAAAUUGCUGGCAGAAGAACAGUGUAACGUCACUUUCAUCACCAACAAAAAAUCUGAUUGUUAUCUUUUUAGGUACCAGCCUAGAGAAAAAGCAGUCAAAGCUCUACCACUUUCAAAUUCAAAUUUCAAACUCUCUUCCUCCUCUCUCUCUAAACCCCAAAGCUUUUGAGACUCUGAUCAGAGAUCGAACACGAUGGAUGAAGAGUAUGAUGUCAUCGUUUUAGGUACUGGUCUUAAGGAAUGCAUUCUCAGUGGUCUUCUCUCCGUCGAUGGCCUCAAAGUUCUUCACAUGGAUAUUGAAAACUGAGCUCCUCCCUCCCUCAAGGAGGUAAACUUUUCAUUCCUGAAACCUGAAUCAUGUUCUCCCAUAAGUGUAGGUAUCAUUUUUUAUUUUCUGGAUCUAUUUUCUUUGUUUUCAGUUUGUUCUUUUCCAAAUCCCUAAUUUUCUUCAGUUGCAUUUCUAAUCUCUUUCUGUUUCGUUUUUUCUUUUCAUUCUCUCAUUGGAGGUAAAAUUUUCAUACCUAAUUGAAGGAAUCACGCUCUCGCAUGACACAAUCAGGAAAUAAUGGUAGAAAGUUGGUAUGAGAGGUGAAAAAUUCUUGACUACAUAUACUUAAGUUCAUGCCUUGGACUCGAUGAAAUGUGUGGCUGCUGUAAAAAGGAAAGGAGUAGUGCCAGAAGAGGAUAUUUACAUUAAGUUUCUUACUUCCUUUUCAUUGAUGAAGAACGAGGUAGUACAUUAAGCUAUCUUCCAUAAAUUAAUUUAUUAUUGCUAUCUAUCUUUUAUAUUUGUUCAUUAUCCUAUAAAUGUAUUUGUUUUUAUUUUCCGAUCUACUGAGUUUGAAGUGUAUGAAUGAUCGCUAGCAUGGAGUAAGUAACAUGAAGGCUAACAUAAAGGUUAACCAAAAACCCUUUUGUACAACAUUUGUAUUCUGGCAAAAGCUCGAAAAACUUUAAAACCAAUUAUGAAGGCUUGAACCAGAAUGUGUUGGUGAUUUUUACAAAAAAGAUGAAGCCAUGGAUGUUGUUGAUAGAAUUAUGAAUUAUGAAGGCUAACCUGAAUGUGUUGGUGAUUUUUCUCUUCUUUUUUUUGUUUGUUUUGGUAUAUAUAGUCUGAAAUAAUACUUUGUGCUACUAAAUACAUGCAACACUUUCUUUUAAACAUGUUAUCAAAUUUAUUCUUCUUUUGGUUGGUAACUCCUUUUGAUAACACAUCUUUUGUUGAUAUAAAAUUCUUCCAAAUUCUAUAAUAUUUGUUGAAGUUGGAUUAGAGUUCCAUUAGUUUAUAUGUGAUGGGUGUACCAUGUACAGAUCUGCCAAUAAAAUUUUGGUGUAUGCAAAUUCUAUAACCCUUUUAAUAACUCAUCAUGAUAUGAAUUGUGUUUUGCAGAUAGAUUUUGGGGUUUGUGGGAAUUUUGUUCUAUUUUCUUAGAUUUACCUCUUUUGAUAACCUACUUGUGUUUUGCAGAUAACUAUACUUUGCAAUUACCAUUUUUAAUGUUGUUGGUUGUAGAAACUAUAAAUUCAAUGCAGCUCUCCAUUCUCAAUUAACUUAGUUUAAAAAUUUCAGUAAGCAUCAUGAGCUCCAUUUUCCUUCCAAAGAAGAAACCCAUGGAUAUUGAAAACUGAGCUCCUCCCUCCCUCAAGGAGGUAAAAUUUUCAUUCCUGAAAUCCGAAUCGUGUUCUCCCAAAAGUGUUGUCUUCUCAAUCGAAUCCUCCGACCUGUUUCAAGAUCCAUCCCGCAGGUAAUUUCAGUUUCGUUCCUUUUCCAAAUCCCUAAUUUUCUUCGAUCACAUUUCAAAGACUCUAUUUGUUUCCUGCUUUUUAUCUUCUAUUUAUUCAUUUUCUCUCUUGGAUCAAAACCUUGAAAACCAAAUAAGCUAUGCUUUAUCUAUGUUUAAAUGACUUUUGCCAAGCACCUUAACUAUAUUAUUAUUUUUUUCCUUUUAUUGUGAGUGUUUUUCUGCCGGUGUUUACUGCAUAGAGCCCUGCUCCUGUCAGGAAUGCAAUAACAAAAUAGUGUCAUGAUGUUUGUAAAGUCACAUUAUUGGAGUGCUCAUUUGCUUAAAGGAGAAAAGAGAACAAGUUUGUUUGAAUGAACUCUAUCAAUUCCAAAUGAAAUCGCAAAACGGUGGUUCAAGAUUCAAGUUAAAUUGUGUGAAGGGAAUCCAAAGAUUUUGACCCCUUGCAGUAAAUUUAAAGAUUUGAGUAAUCUUAAGCUUCAAAAUAUUUACUAUAAUGGAAACUAGGAGGAGCAUGAGCAAACAAUUUUUUUUUGCAUGCAUCUUUUAUAUUUUGUCAUUGGGGAUCACUAUUUAAAUUUGGAAGAAGAGGUUAAAAAUAAGAACCUCAAGAUUUUAUGGAUACAUAUUAUUAUUUUGAUUCGUUUCCAAACUACUACUUGCAAGAAUUAUAAUUAUAUGCAAUUAACAGCGUA
Molecule: long non-coding RNA, 2592 nt
Organism: Trifolium pratense (red clover)
Lineage: Eukaryota; Viridiplantae; Streptophyta; Magnoliopsida; Fabales; Fabaceae
Exons: 10
Source: RefSeq, a predicted model, not a curated record